UUUCUUAAUACUGAUGUGAAAGCCCCUGGCUCAACCGGGGAGGGUCAUUGGAAACUGGGAGACUUGAGUGCAGAAGAUGAGAAUGGAAUUCCAUGUGUAGCUGUGAAAUGCGUAGAUAUAUGGAGGAACACCAGUGGCGAAGGCGGCUCUCUGGUCUGUAACUGACGCUGAGGCUCGAAAGCGUGGGGAGCAAACAGG
RNAcentral lists this ribosomal RNA (198 nucleotides) under uncultured bacterium. RNAcentral's name for it is "partial 16S ribosomal RNA". It matches the Rfam family "Bacterial small subunit ribosomal RNA", at positions 579 to 776 of the family's 1533-position model. The record is from RNAcentral.